This 468-nucleotide ribosomal RNA is filed under the name uncultured bacterium. RNAcentral describes it as "partial 16S ribosomal RNA". It matches the Rfam family "Bacterial small subunit ribosomal RNA", at positions 28 to 507 of the family's 1533-position model. The record is from RNAcentral.
GACGAACGCUGGCGGCGUGCUUAACACAUGCAAGUCGAACGGAAAGGCCCUGCUUUUGUGGGGUGCUCGAGUGGCGAACGGGUGAGUAACACGUGAGUAACCUGCCCUUGACUUUGGGAUAACUUCAGUAAACUGGGGCUAAUACCGGAUAUUAGCUCCUGCUGCAUGGUGUGGGUUGUAAAGUUUCGGCGGUUGGGGAUGGACUCGCGGCUUAUCAGCCUGUUGGUGGGGUAGUGGCUUACCAAGGCUUUGACGGGUAGCCGGCCUGAUAGGGUGACCGGCGACAUUGGGACUGAGAUAACGCCCAGACUCCUACGGGAGGCAGAAGUGGGGAAUAUUGCACAGUGGGAGGAAGCCUGAUGCAGCAACGCCGCGUGCGGGAUGACGGCCUUCGGGUUGUAACCCGCUUUCGCCUGUGACGAAGCGUGAGUGACGGUAAUGGGUAAAGAAGCACCGGCUAACUACGUG